UACGUAGGGUGCGAGCGUUGUCCGGAAUUAUUGGGCGUAAAGAGCUUGUAGGCGGUUUGUGGCGUCUGCUGUGAAAAUCCGGGGCUCAACCCCGGACUUGCAGUGGGUACGGGCAGACUAGAGUGUGGUAGGGGAGACUGGAAUUCCUGGUGUAGCGGUGAAAUGCGCAGAUAUCAGGAGGAACACCGGUGGCGAAGGCGGCAUCCUGGACCGGCAUUGACGCUGAGGCGCGAAAGCCAGGGGAGCAAACGGG
This 253-nucleotide ribosomal RNA is filed under the name uncultured bacterium. Its description in RNAcentral is "partial 16S ribosomal RNA". It matches the Rfam family "Bacterial small subunit ribosomal RNA", at positions 524 to 776 of the family's 1533-position model. The record is from RNAcentral.